RNAcentral lists this ribosomal RNA (261 nucleotides) under uncultured archaeon. RNAcentral's name for it is "partial 16S ribosomal RNA". It matches the Rfam family "Archaeal small subunit ribosomal RNA", at positions 748 to 1008 of the family's 1478-position model. The record is from RNAcentral.
AGGGUGUAAACGCUGCAGACUUGGUGUUGGGAACCCUUCGGGGUGCUCAGUGCCGGAGAGAAGUUGUUAAGUCUGCUACUUGGGGAGUACGUCCGCAAGGAUGAAACUUAAAGGAAUUGGCGGGGGGAGCACCGCAACGGGAGGAGCGUGCGGUUUAAUUGGAUUCAACGCCGAAAAACUCACCAGCAGCGACUGUUACAUGAAAGUCAGGUUGAUGACCUUACUAGAUUUUCAGAGAGGAGGUGCAUGGCGUCAGUGACU